Molecule: long non-coding RNA, 283 nt
Organism: Marmota flaviventris (yellow-bellied marmot)
Lineage: Eukaryota; Metazoa; Chordata; Mammalia; Rodentia; Sciuridae
Source: RefSeq, a predicted model, not a curated record
GGGAGACGCUGGAGCCACUGGACCAGAGCUGAGAUUGGUGAUGUACCAAAUGAAGGGAUACAAGUGCCGCUACUGUAAUAUGAGCAUGUCCUACAGUAUCCAGCACCAGAAGUACAUGAGCAGGAGGGGGAAAAGUAAGAAUUUUGAAAGUUUGAAGCAAGAAGAUAGUUGGAAGAAAAUUCUUCCUGUGACCGGACACAUAAAACUUGCCAUCCACCAUGAGAUCUUUGCCACAGCUGAACCAAUGCCAGUGUCGUGCCCUUGAAUUUCCAGAACCAUGGGC